RNAcentral lists this ribosomal RNA (252 nucleotides) under uncultured bacterium. RNAcentral's name for it is "partial 16S ribosomal RNA". It matches the Rfam family "Bacterial small subunit ribosomal RNA", at positions 524 to 776 of the family's 1533-position model. The record is from RNAcentral.
UACGUAGGGUGCAAGCGUUGUCCGGAUUUAUUGGGCGUAAAGAGCUCGUAGGCGGUUUGUCGCGUCGGAUGUGAAAACCCAGGGCUCAAUCCUGGGCCUGCAUUCGAUACGGGCAGACUAGAGUAUGGCAGGGGAGACUGGAAUUCCUGGUGUAGCGGUGAAAUGCGCAGAUAUCAGGAGGAACACCGGUGGCGAAGGCGGGUCUCUGGGCCAAAACUGACGCUGAGGAGCGAAAGCGUGGGAGCGAACAGG